RNAcentral lists this ribosomal RNA (253 nucleotides) under uncultured bacterium. Its description in RNAcentral is "partial 16S ribosomal RNA". It matches the Rfam family "Bacterial small subunit ribosomal RNA", at positions 524 to 776 of the family's 1533-position model. The record is from RNAcentral.
UACGUAGGGUGCAAGCGUUAUCCGGAAUUAUUGGGCGUAAAGAGCUCGUAGGCGGUCUGUCGCGUCUGCUGUGAAAACUCAGGGCUUAACCCUGAGCUUGCAGUGGGUACGGGCAGACUAGAGUGCGGUAGGGGAGACUGGAAUUCCUGGUGUAGCGGUGAAAUGCGCAGAUAUCAGGAGGAACACCGGUGGCGAAGGCGGAUCUCUGGGCCUUACCUGACGCUCAGGUGCGAAAGCUAGGGGAGCGAACAGG